This is a long non-coding RNA of Coturnix japonica (Japanese quail), 1576 nucleotides long. Lineage: Eukaryota; Metazoa; Chordata; Aves; Galliformes; Phasianidae. The record is from Ensembl.
UGGAGGUCUCGGCUGGAGCAGGAGAGCAGCACCUGACUGCUCAGGGUCCUGCUGCACAGCACUGGGAUGGCUGCCAUCUCUGCAAGGGCCACCUGCACCAUCCCUGUGCCACCAGGUGCUGCAGCCCUCGGGCACACCUCACUGUGCUUUACCCAGCAAGAGACAGGGAUUGAUGCAUAUGAAGCAGCACUUUGUUUUCCCUAAUUCUGACUCCUCCAAGCUCCAGAUUCAGGUAGUGACCAGGGUCUCCCCAUUCAGCUCUGAGCUCAUCAGCCCUGACUUGCCGAGCCUGUCACACCCAACAUGCAUUUGUGGUUGGGGGUGCUGCAAUGUGGGGGAGCAGAACUUGGCUUGUCCUUAAAAGCCUCUAAAAAUAUAUAUUCUUGACUGUAAAAAAAUUAGUAAUUUUAAACCACAGGCGAGUGCUUCACAUUCCUGAGGAAUGCUGCCCUCUGUUUACUGCUGGUAUUGUUCUCAAUGAGCUGGAACCGUGGAAAUGAAUAUUCGCUCUGACGCCAUCCUUCGCCCUGAGAAAGAAAGGAAGAAAGGAAGAAAAGGGAAAAAGAACCAAAACUGCCGAAGGAAAACAGAGUCAUUCUGCCCAUGACUGAAUGAAAGAAUAACAUGGGACCGUGGAAACAGAGCUGCCAGGGCGCAGCAAUUGAUUUAAAGUGGGCUCUGAAUGCCGUCACCGCGGUGGUGCGAGGGCUCAGCCCAGCCGGGGGUCACUGCUGGGGUCCCUGAGCCCCUCCCCAGCACGGAGGGCACGUGAGGGGUGAGGCACUUGGGGGUCUCUGUCUGGGACAUGGUGAAGGGAGGAAGAUUUAAAGCCCAGCCCAGGGCUUCCUGUGCUUAGGUUAUCUCAGGCUGGGGCAUUGCUUCAGACCACACAGGCACACACCGAAAUAAUUUUUACUGGUUCCGCAAUAUAACGUGCAGCACAUGGAGAUGGGAGCCGUGCUGUGCUGACACGCUGCCUCAGCACGCCGGCACGCUGUGCACAGGGCUGCCAGUGCAUGGGGAUGCAGAGGGUCAGGCAUCGGGAUGCAGGGGUGAUGUUCAUUGGGAUGCAGGAGGAUACGCAUUAAGGUGCAGUGAGCCUGUUCAUCAGGAUAUGGUGAAGAUGUGCAUUGGGAUGCAGGAGGACACACGCAGGGAUGCAGGAGGAUGGGAUGCAAGAUGUAGGAGGGACCAUGGAGAUGCUGAAGGCCAGGGCCUGGAGCCCGUGCUGGGGAUUUGAGCAUCAGCUGAAAUCCAGUUGAAGUAACAAACCCUAAAGGAAGAUUUCAGGGUGAGCACACGGGGAGCUCAUCUGUUUCCCCAGAAGACUGAAGCCAAGCACAGAAUCCAGCUCUGUGGUGUGCAGAGCUGCUCACAUCUCCCAGCUCCCAGUUGUGAGUGCUCACAGCUUGGCACACCUGCACACAGAGCCAAGGACACAGUGCAGGGGGGAAGAGCCAGGUUUGGCUGCAACCCAUCUUCAGUAACCUCUAUGUUGGCACGAGGAUGGCAUGACCCGACAGCCCCGUGCCCUGCACCCAUCCAUGGCUGGGGACCCUGCACCGUGAUGUCGUUG